Non-coding RNA from Amborella trichopoda, 1691 nucleotides. Lineage: Eukaryota; Viridiplantae; Streptophyta; Magnoliopsida; Amborellales; Amborellaceae. The record is from RefSeq and is a predicted model, not a curated record.
UCGAAAUUGCUGACAGUAUACAAUUAGCGGGAUUUUCUUCUUUCCGUGUUCAAAGUCUCAGGUUGCACUCUUCUUCUCUGAAAUCACCAAUGGUUCGAGCUCCGAAAUCAGCUGAAAAUGGCGAAAAUCUACCUGAAAAUAGAGAAGUUACAGAGAGAAAGAAGCUUAAGCAUCUCGCUUUAUCUCAGAAACUUCUAUCCCGAGCUCCUGCAAAGCCCUCGAGUCCUCUGGAACCUUCGAAAAUGGUCACCAAACAAGAUGGGCGUGACAUUGUGAAAAAGGGACACCGAAAAAGCAAAUUUCUCUUUGCUUUCCCAGGCCUUUUGGCGCCUGUUAGUGGUGGAAAGAUUGGGGAGCUUGCAGAUUUAGGGUCGAAGAAUCCGAUCCUCUAUAUCGAUUUUCCUCAGGGUCGGAUGAAGCUUUUUGGAACUAUUGUGUAUCCGAAGAACAAGUACUUGACACUUCAAUUUGCUCGUGGGUCUAAGAACGUAUCAUGUGAGGAUUCAUUUGAGAACUUGGUUGUAUUUUCUGAUGCAUGGUGGAUCGGAAAGAAAGAAGCUAACCCCGAGGAGCUCCAGCUUGAGUUCCCUAAGGAACUUGAGGCCAUUCAUUCCGAUUUUGAUUUCAAAGGUGGGGUUGGGGCAACAACCAAAGAGAAAUCAGGCCCAAUUAAACCCAAUGAACCACUUUCUCCUAAGACUAAGUUUGAGAUCGACGAUUCUGAUAAUUCUAGCCCUUUGUCUGGUGAGAAUUCAAAUGGCGCACAGGAGGAGAUUCUGACUCCUAUUCGACAUUCUGCAAGAACAGCCGGGAGAACAUUCAAAUAUGUUGAUUCCUCUUCUGGAGAUGAUUUUCGCAGUAAAGAAAGUGGCUCAGAGUUAUCUGAAACAGAACAAGUGCAUGAAACAAAGGAAGAAACAGAAAAAAUGCCUGAUGUGAAGAAAGAGGCGGUUCAUCACAAAACUGAAAAAAAAACUUUCCAUGACCCUCAUUCUGUCAAGGAUGAGAAUGGCAAGAAAAAAGGCCAUUUGCAAGCUGAAGCUAAACCGCCUUCUUCGUCCUUGGGAAAAUCUAAAGAGCGUGAUAUUAAGAGAAAAGUCAGUCUUGUACAAGCUACUUUGUCCAAUUUUCUUGACAAAGUGGAUGAACAGAAGCCAAAGAAGAAUGUAAAGGCCUCGUCAGCAAUAAAAGGUGCCAUUUUUCUCCUUAGAGCUGUUUGGGCUAAUCAGGCUUCUUUUGAAAGGAGGCAGAGUCCACGGAAAUCAAAAAUUGAAGAGACACAUACCAAUAAACGCGUAAAGACCGAUACUUGUGGGGACCAUACAUGUGAAUAGACAAAAGCCAUCAAAGGUGGAUCAUGAUGAUGUUGAAGUGAUCUCAAGUGACUCGCAGGCCACUAACGGCAAUGAUGAAGAUUGGCUAGGUUGAAAUACAUCUGACAGGAAUGCAGAUUACAAGCAUAGUCUGAUUCAUGGUGCAUGAUGAAUCUGAGGUGGCUCUUCCUGUGCCCCAGAUGUCUCACUCAACAAAAAGCAGCAGGAGCUGGCUCUUGGGUUUGGCUAUGUAUGCCCUCAAAUAUGUGAAUGUUUGAGUGUCACAUUAAAUCAUCAAACCACACUACGGUGGUUACAUGAACCAAUAUAUCAACAAAAUUAUUAAUUCAAUAAAAUCAAUUUACUCAAUUGGUCAAA